UGCCAGCAGCCGCGGUAAUACGGAGGGGGCUAGCGUUGUUCAGCUUUACUGGGUGUAAAGGGUGCGUAGGCGGCUUCGUGUGUCAGAGGUGAAAUCCAGCGGCUCGACCGUUGGACUGCCCCUGAAACUGCGGAGCUUGAGUCCGUGAGAGGAAGGCGGAAUUCCUGGUGUAACGGUGAAAUGUGCAGAUAUCAGGAAGAACACCCGUAGCGAAGGCGGCCUUCUGGUGCGGAACUGACGCUGAGGCACGAAAGCUAGGGUAUCGAACGGGAUUAGAUA
This 279-nucleotide ribosomal RNA is filed under the name uncultured bacterium. RNAcentral describes it as "partial 16S ribosomal RNA". It matches the Rfam family "Bacterial small subunit ribosomal RNA", at positions 506 to 784 of the family's 1533-position model. The record is from RNAcentral.